RNAcentral lists this ribosomal RNA (699 nucleotides) under uncultured Desulfobacterales bacterium. RNAcentral describes it as "bacterial SSU rRNA". It matches the Rfam family "Bacterial small subunit ribosomal RNA", at positions 8 to 695 of the family's 1533-position model. Lineage: Bacteria; Pseudomonadati; Thermodesulfobacteriota; Desulfobacteria; Desulfobacterales. The record is from RNAcentral.
AGAGUUUGAUCCUGGCUCAGAACGAACGCUGGCGGCGUGCUUAACACAUGCAAGUCGAACGCGAAAGUUUUCUUCGGAAAGCGAGUAGAGUGGCGCACGGGUGAGUAACGCGUAAGUAAUCUACCCUGAUAUCUGGGAUAACCCACCGAAAGGUGUGCUAAUACCGGAUACGCUGAUUUAUCAGGAAAGGUGGCCUCUUCAUGAAAGCUACUGUAUCAGGAGGAGCUUGCGUACCAUUAGCUAGUUGGUAGGGUAAUGGCCUACCAAGGCAACGAUGGUUAGCGGGUCUGAGAGGAUGAUCCGCCACACUGGAACUGGAACACGGACCAGACUCCUACGGGAGGCAGCAGUGAGGAAUAUUGCGCAAUGGGGGAAACCCUGACGCAGCGACGCCGCGUGGAUGAUGAAGGCCUUCGGGUCGUAAAAUCCUGUCAGAUGGAAAGAAAUGCAUAUGUAUUAAUACUACGUAUGUUUGACGGUACCAUCAAAGGAAGCACCGGCUAACUCCGUGCCAGCAGCCGCGGUAAUACGGAGGGUGCAAGCGUUGUUCGGAAUUACUGGGCGUAAAGCGCGCGUAGGCGGUUUGUUAAGUCAGAUGUGAAAGUCCACGGCUCAACCGUGGAAGUGCAUUUGAAACUGGCAGACUUGAGUACUGGAGGGGGUGGUGGAAUUCCCGGUGUAGAGGUGAAAUUCGUAGAU